AAGUGCAAAUGCACUGAGAGAAAAGUUGAGCAUAAGAGUAAUCAGAUGCAACAUGCAAAAGAGAAGAGUAUACUGGUUUGGACAUGUGAUGUGUUUGAAUGAAGAUAGCUGUAUAAAGAAAAGUUGAUCACUUAAAGUUGAUGGCAACUGUUGAAGAGGG
This is a long non-coding RNA of Octopus sinensis (East Asian common octopus), 160 nucleotides long. RefSeq lists it as uncharacterized. NCBI's taxonomy places the organism in Eukaryota, Metazoa, Mollusca, Cephalopoda, Octopoda, Octopodidae. The record is from RefSeq and is a predicted model, not a curated record. The transcript is spliced from 3 exons.